RNAcentral lists this ribosomal RNA (172 nucleotides) under uncultured bacterium. RNAcentral's name for it is "partial 16S ribosomal RNA". It matches the Rfam family "Bacterial small subunit ribosomal RNA", at positions 335 to 524 of the family's 1533-position model. The record is from RNAcentral.
ACUCCUACGGGAGGCAGCAGUGGGGAAUAUUGCACAAUGGGGGAAACCCUGAUGCAGCGACGCCGCGUGAGCGAAGAAGUAUUUCGGUAUGUAAAGCUCUAUCAGCAGGGAAGAAAAUGACGGUACCUGACUAAGAAGCCCCGGCUAACUACGUGCCAGCAGCCGCGGUAAU